Molecule: ribosomal RNA, 254 nt
Filed under: uncultured bacterium
Lineage: Bacteria
Description: partial 16S ribosomal RNA
Rfam family: Bacterial small subunit ribosomal RNA
Source: RNAcentral
GACAGAAGGUGCAAGCGUUACUCGGAAUUACUGGGCGUAAAGCGUCUGUAGGUGUCUUGUCACGUCUUGGGACAAACCGCGGAGCCCAACUCCGCGUUCUUCUUGGAUACGAGCAAGAUUCGAGUCAUUCAGAGGCAUCUGGAAUGUCGUGUGUAGGGGUAAAAUCCGUAGAUACACGAUGGAACGCCAAAAGCGAAAGCAGGAUGCUAGGAAUGCACUGACACUCAGAGACGAAAGCGUGGGGAGCAAAGGGG